This 884-nucleotide ribosomal RNA is filed under the name Bacillus paralicheniformis. Its description in RNAcentral is "bacterial SSU rRNA". It matches the Rfam family "Bacterial small subunit ribosomal RNA", at positions 32 to 896 of the family's 1533-position model. The record is from RNAcentral. Lineage: Bacteria; Bacillati; Bacillota; Bacilli; Caryophanales; Bacillaceae.
AACGCUGGCGGCGUGCCUAAUACAUGCAAGUCGAGCGGACAGAUGGGAGCUUGCUCCCUGAUGUUAGCGGCGGACGGGUGAGUAACACGUGGGUAACCUGCCUGUAAGACUGGGAUAACUUCGGGAAACCGGGGCUAAUACCGGAUGCUUGAUUGAACCGCCUGGUUCAAUUAUUAAAGGUGGCUUUUAGCUACCACUUACAGAUGGACCCGCGGCGCAUUAGCUAGUUGGUGAGGUAACGGCUCACCAAGGCGACGAUGCGUAGCCGACCUGAGAGGGUGAUCGGCCACACUGGGACUGAGACACGGCCCAGACUCCUACGGGAGGCAGCAGUAGGGAAUCUUCCGCAAUGGACGAAAGUCUGACGGAGCAACGCCGCGUGAGUGAUGAAGGUUUUCGGAUCGUAAAACUCUGUUGUUAGGGAAGAACAAGUACCGUUCGAAUAGGGCGGUACCUUGACGGUACCUAACCAGAAAGCCACGGCUAACUACGUGCCAGCAGCCGCGGUAAUACGUAGGUGGCAAGCGUUGUCCGGAAUUAUUGGGCGUAAAGCGCGCGCAGGCGGUUUCUUAAGUCUGAUGUGAAAGCCCCCGGCUCAACCGGGGAGGGUCAUUGGAAACUGGGGAACUUGAGUGCAGAAGAGGAGAGUGGAAUUCCACGUGUAGCGGUGAAAUGCGUAGAGAUGUGGAGGAACACCAGUGGCGAAGGCGACUCUCUGGUCUGUAACUGACGCUGAGGCGCGAAAGCGUGGGGAGCGAACAGGAUUAGAUACCCUGGUAGUCCACGCCGUAAACGAUGAGUGCUAAGUGUUAGAGGGUUUCCGCCCUUUAGUGCUGCAGCAAACGCAUUAAGCACUCCGCCUGGGGAGUACGGUCGCAAGACUG